This is a non-coding RNA of Octopus bimaculoides (California two-spot octopus), 107 nucleotides long. Lineage: Eukaryota; Metazoa; Mollusca; Cephalopoda; Octopoda; Octopodidae. The record is from Rfam.
AUACAUCUUUUGGUUCUACAUACACUAAAAUUGGAACGAUAUAGAGACGAUUAGCAUGACCCCUGCGCAAGGAUGACGCGCAAAUUCGUGAAACCUUCCAUACCUUU